AGUGAACGCUGGCGGUAGGCCUAACACAUGCGAGUCGAACGGCAGCACAGUAAGAGCUUGCUCUUACGGGUGGCGAGUGGCGGACGGGUGAGGCAUACAUCGGAAUCUACUUUUUCGUGGGGGAUAACGUAGGGAAACUUACGCUAAUACCGCAUACGACCUACGGGUGAAAGCAGGGGAUCUUCGGACCUUGCGCGAUUGAAUGAGCCGAUGUCGGAUUAGCUAGUUGGCGGGGUAAAGGCCCACCAAGGCGACGAUCCGUAGCUGGUCUGAGAGGAUGAUCAGCCACACUGGAACUGAGACACGGUCCAGACUCCUACGGGAGGCAGCAGUGGGGAAUAUUGGACAAUGGGCGCAAGCCUGAUCCAGCCAUACCGCGUGGGUGAAGAAGGCCUUCGGGUUGUAAAGCCCUUUUGUUGGGAAAGAAAAGCAGCAGGUUAAUACCCCGCUGUUCUGACGGUACCCAAAGAAUAAGCACCGGCUAACUUCGUG
This 492-nucleotide ribosomal RNA is filed under the name uncultured bacterium. RNAcentral's name for it is "partial 16S ribosomal RNA". It matches the Rfam family "Bacterial small subunit ribosomal RNA", at positions 29 to 507 of the family's 1533-position model. The record is from RNAcentral.